UGGCUGUACCUCACUGUGACAUGAGUUAACCUCAUAUCACAAGAAAUCAUGACCUUGCUCGGUGGAUCUAGAAGAAACCUGUACAAAAUGUUCAAUACAGAAAAAAAAAAUGCAAAUAAAGAGGGGUUUAUUUGUAAUAAGUUUUGUGAUGAUCAUUUAGUUAGUCGUAGGUCACGAAUCAUCGAAUUAUAUAUAAUCACCCAGGGGUGUGGAAAUAUUUGCUGUGGGCACUUGUCCCUGGGCAAGUAAAACUGUAAAGUUCACUUGUCCGGAAAAAAAGUUACUUGCCCUGAUGGUCCCAAUUUAUUGAAGUAUUUCAUUGUAGUUAAUAUAUGAUUCUUAGCACUGUUACAACUGCAUCACAAACAAGUGAAAUCCAUUUGUUUAUUAUGUGUAAAAAUUUAGUAAAGUAGGUCAACAUCUAUGGGACAAAAACCUUACAGCAAAACAACCAAUGAAAUAACAUGUAAAGGUAAUUUUUGCAGCAGUUUUGGAAUAAAAAUUGUAGCCAGUAGGUACAUAUAAUGAUAUACUAGUUUAGAGGACAGUGAGUGAAGAAAUGGAAAUUAAAUAAUGGAUUAACUAUUGACUUUUUUGCUGUUUCUCUCAACUGAUCAACACACUUGUUUUUUUUUUUUUUUGGUUUUUUUUAUAAUUGUAUUGAUGGGCAAUUAAACCGUCCCUUCCAUUUACCACUCUGACAACAAAUAAUGUUGACCUUUGAUCUAUAAAUAUAAAGACAAAAAAAAUAUUUAUUUUCCGAAUUUCCAUCCUAGAUAGCCAGGUGCAAUCUGAUAUUCACGAUGUCUGAAAUUCUCGCUUCCAUAUUUUUUUUUAAUACUCCUUAUCCUCCAUUUGCGUUUUAGGGUUUUUACUCGACUCAUUACUCUUUUUGUCUUGCUUGCCCGGUGUUUUAUAAAGUAUUUAUCAAUCUGAUUCUCGAUACAAAAUCAUAUAAAAUGACAGUUCCGGUACAUGAUGGAUAAAACCUAAUCGACCAUCCUGUGUCAAUGGACAAAACCAAUGCAAUGUUACACAACUCGGGUUCGCAUACUUAUUUUUAUUUAUUUUGUUAAUCUAUCUAUUUUCGGUAUUAUGUAAUAUUUAUCGUCAUGAACCAUUGGUUUCAUUUACAUAAAUUGAACAUCUUUAUAUAUUUUGAACAUGUUGAAAUUAGUUCUAUAUUUCUGUUGGAUUUGAACUUUGUCUUUUAUAUUAUUUUACUUGUCCACGGGCAACCCAGACAAAAAUAAUUACUUGUCCGGUUGUUCAAAUGUACGAGUCGGGCGAGUCGGGCAUAGCAUUUCCACACCCCUGU
This 1318-nucleotide long non-coding RNA is filed under the name Mytilus galloprovincialis (Mediterranean mussel). The record is from RNAcentral. Lineage: Eukaryota; Metazoa; Mollusca; Bivalvia; Mytilida; Mytilidae.